AUCUUCCACAUCCGCGCUGCAUCUUUUUGCUUUUUUUUUCUACCCCCUUCUCCUUCUUUUCUUUGCUGCCAACGCGAGACACACGCCUCCCCUCCAUCGGCGCCCCGUGCUCGUCCCCCGUUUUCUUUCUGUCGUUGGUGUUGUGAUAGCCCCUCUUGUCCGCCCGUCGUGUUCUCCGUCGCAGCUUGAUCAGCGAGCGCAUCGCUACUCUUCUUCGCUUCACAUUGAAUACGUCCGUCACGGGCUGCCACUGUCCGUGUCUCUCUCUCGUAUUCUUCUUUUGGUUCUACCUGGCGCCCCCUCCUCCAGACCUUUGCACCGCAGCCAUGGCGAUAUCUGGUGUUACGCUCGAGGAAAACGUCCGCGGCGCGAUCGAUGAUCUGCGCAUGAAGAAGAGCCGCUACGUCAUGAUGUGUAUCGGUGCGGACGGAAAGAAGAUUGAGGUGACAGAGGUUGGUGAGCGCAGCGUGAAUUACACCGAUUUGAAGGAAAAGUUCUCGACGGAGAAGCCGUGCUACGUGGCCUUCGACUUUGAGUAUAACGACGCUGGGUCGAAGCGCGAGAAGCUUAUCCUCAUUCAAUGGAUCCCCGACACUGCGAGGCCGCGCGAAAAGAUGAUGUACAGCGCGAGCCGAGAUGCUCUGAGCUCCGUGUCGGAGGGCUACCUCCCCAUCCAGGCGAACGAUGAAUCCGGGUUGGAUGCCGAAGAAAUCAUCCGCAAGGUAAGGCUCCAUCGUAGCGUGUAAGACAGCGCGUGCGUGUAUGUGUACGCGCGUCUUCGAUGCAGCAAGAGAGCGAGAGGGAGGGAGUUAGCGAGGGAAGGGCGGCACCAUAUUGGCAACGGCUGCAGAAAGAUACUUGCGCGCAUGUAAAUACACAGGGUCGCAUGUACACGUUUACGCCUUUGCUGCCCUCCUCUUCUUUCCUCGUUGAGCCUGAAGGCUUGACUUCAAUAAUGUGGCUGACGGCGGAAGGGGUGCAUCGGGACACUUCUGUGUUAGCGUGCAGUUGACAAUGCGCGCCCGUCAGCCGGCGGCGUGUCCGCAGCGGCGGGGAGGGGGAGGGCAGCGGCGUAGAGGCCGCCGGGGACGGAGGCAUCGAUGCUUACCCGUAGGGAUCGGAAUAGGCUCGAACAACGGUGACGGACAGAGGAGCAAAAAAGAGAGACGAGAGCGCGCAAGGGACGAAAGGCUGCGAGGUGAGAAAAGUGCAUGGAAGGCGCGAAGCAGCAUCUUGCAAAGACGGGCAGGAGCAGCACAAGUUGCGGGGGUGACGCUCCUGGAGGCGAUGUGGAGCAGCACUGGUGAGCGAGGAAAGAGGGAUGGCAGAGGCGCGCGCGCGAAAAACGAGGGGCUGCUUCAUCCUUCGUUCUGGGGGAGGGGGGAUUACCAUCGCGGUUAGUGUCGCCGCUGCAGACGCGAAGAGAGCGAGAGGCUGAUGACUGAGCUUCUGACACGCACGCACCCUUGCCGUGCCUCAGUCGCCUUCGCCAGGUGCGUGUACUUGAUGAUACGCAUCCCUUCGUUGGCUUGCACUGGACCAGACAUCAGGGCCGAAAUGCCGAGCAGGCGCGUGUCGCUGCGCUCGCUUUCGCUUUCCCUCCCCUGGUUUCUUCACGCUUUUUUUUUCUACUUGGCUUGCGUGUGUGCCACUGUCUCCGCUUGGCAGCAUAUCCGCGUCGUCUCGCCGCAUUUUUUCUUGUCCCUGUCCUCUUGCAUGUUUGCCGGUUGUCUCUCUCUACUGUUCGUCUCCAUGUAUGCUUUCCUUUCUUCCCGCUCUCUCUCCAUCUGCAGCGGGUACAGGUGCACACGUGGUCGUGUUUGCGCGCGCACCCAGUCUUCAAAGGCCCGCAUGGCAUCCCGCUCCCAACCCACUGUUCGUGCGCGCGCUCUUCUUCUCUUCUUCCUUCCCCCUUCCUGCGCGCGUGCUUGUGUGCUCCUCCUCGUCUUCGCUCACGUCGUCUCCUUCCGCUGGCUUUCGUUGAUUUCGCAAUCUUAUUUUUACUUUUCUCUGUUGUUUGUUUCAUUCGCUUCUCUUCGUCCGCCUCCUCCACAG
Molecule: unclassified non-coding RNA, 2055 nt
Filed under: Leishmania donovani
Lineage: Eukaryota; Euglenozoa; Kinetoplastea; Trypanosomatida; Trypanosomatidae
Description: gene:LdHU3.29.0750(CDS-product:ADF/Cofilin)
Source: RNAcentral